UGGGGAUGGAGCUCUGUGGCAGAGCUCUUGCCUUGCAUGUCUGCGGCCCUGGGUUCAAACCCCAGUACCACAG
This 73-nucleotide transfer RNA is filed under the name Marmota monax (woodchuck). Its description in RNAcentral is "tRNA.Ala". The record is from RNAcentral. Lineage: Eukaryota; Metazoa; Chordata; Mammalia; Rodentia; Sciuridae.